RNAcentral lists this transfer RNA (68 nucleotides) under Gonodactylellus sp. SIO BIC C12514. RNAcentral's name for it is "tRNA-Asn". Lineage: Eukaryota; Metazoa; Arthropoda; Malacostraca; Stomatopoda; Gonodactylidae. The record is from RNAcentral.
CUUAACCAAAACCAAAAAGAGGUAUAUUAUUGUUAAUAAUAGAAUUGAAAAGUUUUUUCUGGUUAAGG